Molecule: ribosomal RNA, 589 nt
Filed under: Salmonella enterica subsp. enterica serovar Enteritidis
Lineage: Bacteria; Pseudomonadati; Pseudomonadota; Gammaproteobacteria; Enterobacterales; Enterobacteriaceae
Description: partial 23S ribosomal RNA
Rfam family: Bacterial large subunit ribosomal RNA
Source: RNAcentral
GACAUCAGGAGGUUAGUGCAAUGGCAUAAGCCAGCUUGACUGCGAGCGUGACGGCGCGAGCAGGUGCGAAAGCAGGUCAUAGUGAUCCGGUGGUUCUGAAUGGAAGGGCCAUCGCUCAACGGAUAAAAGGUACUCCGGGGAUAACAGGCUGAUACCGCCCAAGAGUUCAUAUCGACGGCGGUGUUUGGCACCUCGAUGUCGGCUCAUCACAUCCUGGGGCUGAAGUAGGUCCCAAGGGUAUGGCUGUUCGCCAUUUAAAGUGGUACGCGAGCUGGGUUUAGAACGUCGUGAGACAGUUCGGUCCCUAUCUGCCGUGGGCGCUGGAGAACUGAGGGGGGCUGCUCCUAGUACGAGAGGACCGGAGUGGACGCAUCACUGGUGUUCGGGUUGUCAUGCCAAUGGCACUGCCCGGUAGCUAAAUGCGGAAGAGAUAAGUGCUGAAAGCAUCUAAGCACGAAACUUGCCCCGAGAUGAGUUCUCCCUGAGACUUAAAGUCUCCUGAAGGAACGUUGAAGACGACGACGUUGAUAGGCCGGGUGUGUAAGCGCAGCGAUGCGUUGAGCUAACCGGUACUAAUGAACCGUGAGGC